RNAcentral lists this ribosomal RNA (253 nucleotides) under uncultured bacterium. RNAcentral's name for it is "partial 16S ribosomal RNA". It matches the Rfam family "Bacterial small subunit ribosomal RNA", at positions 524 to 776 of the family's 1533-position model. The record is from RNAcentral.
UACGUAGGGUGCAAGCGUUAUCCGGAAUUAUUGGGCGUAAAGAGCUCGUAGGCGGUUUGUCGCGUCUGCCGUGAAAACUGGAGGCUCAACCUCCAGCCUGCGGUGGGUACGGGCAAACUAGAGUGCGGUAGGGGAGAUUGGAAUUCCUGGUGUAGCGGUGGAAUGCGCAGAUAUCAGGAGGAACACCGGUGGCGAAGGCGGGUCUCUGGGCCGAUACUGACGCUGAGGAGCGAAAGCGUGGGGAGCGAACAGG